RNAcentral lists this unclassified non-coding RNA (221 nucleotides) under Hevea brasiliensis (rubber tree). The record is from RNAcentral. Lineage: Eukaryota; Viridiplantae; Streptophyta; Magnoliopsida; Malpighiales; Euphorbiaceae.
GGAAGAAAAGGAUUCGAAAGCUCCGUCACCUGUGAUUGCUCUUUCAACCACAACUCCACUUGCCGUAUCGUCGCCAUAGCUCUGAAGUCCCAGAAUCUAUCAGGCAUUGUGCCACCAGAGUUUUCCAAGCUUCGCUUCCUCAAACAGCUAGACCUCAGUCGAAACUGUCUCACUGGUUCUAUCCCUUCACAAUGGGCUACCAUGCGAUUGGUAGAACUCUC